This 164-nucleotide ribosomal RNA is filed under the name Ulmus americana (American elm). Its description in RNAcentral is "5.8S ribosomal RNA". It matches the Rfam family "5.8S ribosomal RNA". From Rfam's summary of the family: 5.8S ribosomal RNA (5.8S rRNA) is a component of the large subunit of the eukaryotic ribosome. It is transcribed by RNA polymerase I as part of the 45S precursor that also contains 18S and 28S rRNA. Lineage: Eukaryota; Viridiplantae; Streptophyta; Magnoliopsida; Rosales; Ulmaceae. RNAcentral also lists the same sequence under 1 other name. The record is from RNAcentral.
GGCAACGGAUAUCUCGGCUCUCGCAUCGAUGAAGAACGUAGCGAAAUGCGAUACUUGGUGUGAAUUGCAGAAUCCCGUGAACCAUCGAGUCUUUGAACGCAAGUUGCGCCCGAAGCCAUCCGGCCGAGGGCACGUCUGCCUGGGCGUCACACGCCGUUGCCCCC